Molecule: long non-coding RNA, 1951 nt
Organism: Lycium barbarum (goji berry)
Lineage: Eukaryota; Viridiplantae; Streptophyta; Magnoliopsida; Solanales; Solanaceae
Exons: 3
Source: RefSeq, a predicted model, not a curated record
UUUUAUUUACAUUAUAUAUAGUCUUCUAUGCUUGUUUAUUUAAUGGAAAAUAGGGUGUACGAAAGGGAAAUUAGUUUAUGGAGUUACUUGAAGAAUUACUUUCCCAACAGUGGAACCAGAAAAUAGAGAUGUUAAACUCUCCAGAAACUCUCAAUUCCAUUAUAGAAUUUGUGCUUGGAUUUUUCUUUUCCUUCUUUCAAGUAAAACUUCCAUAUCCUUUCUGAAAUCUUCAAAAUAAUUAAUGUAGGAACCCACCAUAAAUCCUUGCAUCAUAACUUCUUUGCCCACCAUGUUUCAAACUCCUCCUCUCUCGGUCCACCUACAAAAAUUCAAAGAUUUUCUUUUUCCUAAUAGAGUUUUUUUUGCAAGUAUCACACAUCAACUAUCAGUUGUUCUCUUUUGCCAUCUGAACUAUCACCGUCUAUGAAUUAAAAUACACCCAAAUUAUCAGUUUGUUACACCUCGGAAAUUUGGGUUGUCGCACUGUGAGUAGACUAAUGUAAGCAUAAGGUGAACAUGGAGCUCUUAUGACCACAAGAAGGAUAUUUGGUAGCUUUAAAGUGUAUGCGAUGAGAAUUUGGAGUUAUAUGAAUUGGUGAGACUAAGUUCGUCAAAGGAAAGUGAAGUAUAAGUUGUGUUCGGGAAUGUUUGGCGAUUAUCGAGUUAAUGAUUAUUUGGUAAUGUCUUGAAGAGAAGUUAUAGAGCCCUUAGAUGGUUGAUGAAGUAUUAUACAAGUGUCAAGAAGGUUCCAUAAGAAUUGGAGAUCAAACGAAUCACUGAGAGCGAUUCCAGAAAAAGUGGGUUAUACGACCACUUAUACGGUCCGUAUAACAUUCCAGAGGAAGGUCAGUCCCUGGUGGUAUUAUACGACCACUUAUACGGACCGUAUAAUAUUAUACGGACUGUAUAAGGGGUCUGUAUAACUCCAUCGGGUCACUUUUCCAAAAUUUUCCCCAACUCUAUAUAUAUAGCCCAAGUCCAUAUUUUUCAUUUCAUACAUCUUCCACACCUCUCAAGAGCUCUAGAAUAUUCCAUACCCCUUACUAACACAAAUCCAAGGUAAACCAAAGAUUAAAUAUCAAGAACCAAGAGAAUCAAGGGUAGAGAAGGUGACUAGGGCUUAUGGAAGUUAAGGUUUCCUUUUUGGAAUUGAAGUUGGGGUUUUCUUAAGUGAAGUAUUUUCAUCCAAAGUCCCUUCCUACAUCAUCAAAGAAUUGUGAGCUCGGAAGGAGAGCGUUUAGUCAAUAGAGCAAAAGAGACAAAAAGGUAGACAGGGAGACGGUCCGGAUUCCUAGAAGUCCAUUCAGCAGACACACAUAAGCACUCCACUACUCUAGAGUUGCAGCUCGUUGGUAUUUUCUUUGUGUACAUAUUUGGGGCAUGGCGAGGUCCUGUCCCAUCCUUAUGAUUUCUGUCUUUCAGUUAGAGGCUCGUAGAUACAUAUGUGUGGGUAGUAGAUGUUAUGUACCCUCUCAGUGUUACUUGUGUAUCAUUUUGAUAGCCGCGAGGACUUAUGUAUAUAUAUACUCAUGCCUUGGGGGAUAAUUUACGAUCAUUUUAUAGUAAGUAUUACCUUUGAGAAUUAUGUUUGCUUGAGGUGAGUAUGACAGCUAGAAGCAUAUGGGGUGCUCGGUAGUCAGCUCCGGGUAUCCGUCAUGGCUCCCUAGUCAGUUCGUGACACAGUUGUCCCUGAAAACCCUAAACUCAAUCAGGUAGAAAAGGGAACAACUGAUAGUUGAUGUGUGUUUUAUUACAUAAAUGAUAAUAAUUCAGGUAGCAAAAGAGAAUUGCUGAUAGUUGAAGUGUGAAACUUGCGAAAAAGUGAUAGUUCAUGUAUGCUUUUGACCAUUAACUAGAUCUUACUUUUUUUAAGAAACCAUCACCAGGCUAUAUUAGCCCCUACCUCCUAUAUCAUUCGAGGUGAAAAAGUAAUUAUUUGGUUCGACGAAUG